RNAcentral lists this ribosomal RNA (574 nucleotides) under Pseudoleucosporidium fasciculatum. Its description in RNAcentral is "eukaryotic LSU rRNA". It matches the Rfam family "Eukaryotic large subunit ribosomal RNA", at positions 65 to 633 of the family's 3401-position model. The record is from RNAcentral. Lineage: Eukaryota; Fungi; Basidiomycota; Microbotryomycetes.
CUAACAAGGAUUCCCCUAGUAGCGGCGAGCGAAGUGGGACAAGCUCAAAUUUGAAAUCUGGCGCUUUCAGCGUCCGAGUUGUAAUCUCGAGAAGCGUUUUCCGUAUUAGCCUGCAUACAAGUCCGUUGGAAUACGGCGUCAUAGUGGUGAGAACCCCGUAGAUAAUGCAGAUUCCUAAUGCUCUGUGAUACGCUUUCGAAGAGUCGAGUUGUUUGGGAAUGCAGCUCAAAUUGGGUGGUAAAUUCCAUCUAAAGCUAAAUAUUGGCGAGAGACCGAUAGCGAACAAGUACCGUGAGGGAAAGAUGAAAAGCACUUUGGAAAGAGAGUUAACAGUACGUGAAAUUGUUGGAAGGGAAACGAUUGAAGUCAGACUUGCUAAUCGGAGUUCAGCCAUUAGGUGUACUCUCCGACUCGCAGGCCAGCAUCAGUUUUCGGGGGCGGAAAAUCAUUAGAGAAAGGUAGCAGCCUAGCUGUGUUAUAGUCUCUGGUUGGAUUCGCCUUUGGGGACUGAGGAACGCAGUGUGCUUUUAGCAAUUCCUUCGGGGAUUUCACACUAGGAUGCGAUGAUGGUGGA